AUUCGGUACUCUGAACAGAAUGAAUUUGCUUCCACUAAUGCUGGUUGGACUCUGGGCGGCAGAGUCUUACGCAAGAAUGUAAACCCUAAUGGUUCGGUGGCAAUGGAUUACUUGGCCGAUGAAUGGGCCACAGCAGUGAGCAGGUACCCGCCACUAUCCAUUGAACUUGGCGAUAAAAUGGGAAAACUUUUUAACAAAAAUUUCAAACAUCUGGAGUGAUCUAUGGACUCUACAUAUUGGCAAAACUGCACCAUCAGAUGUUGGAGCGGGGUGACGAUCUUAUUGAAGACACAGAGGAAUGCCGUGAAAACUUACAACCAAAGAUUGAACUGUUAAAAUCAAACAUUAACCUACAACCAAUUGGCUUGGACGAAGAUUUGGACUCACUCAUCAGACAGUGCCAGGUAUUCUUAAGCUUAUCACCUGGAAAUGUGGCGAUCCCUACACCGGACCUGGACCGCGAAUACGCUGGUACCGUCAAUCUGGGCUCCUGAAAUUGGCUGUUUCCAUCGAUCUGAACGAUCUGAGCAACGAAUAUUGCUGAGCGCUAACGAAAAAUGCCACUCCGGGACGCAGGAUCUACACGUCGAAAACCACAAUGCGAAAAAGCUAACUUGAUGCGUUUUAACAAGAUCUCUUUAUAGAUGUAGCGAGAUUUAUUUGGUAACAUAACAAUUUUUCCCCAAUUUUUCGGCAAUUGUAAGUCCGAGGCGCAGGAUAUAGACGCCGAAGACCACGAAGCGAAACGGCUGGUGAAGCCAGCUUCGGGGGUAUUAAACAGCUAGCUUGAUGCUUCUUCCGUUUUAAAAAAGUCAACUUCAGAGGCUUAAUAUGAUGUUUUUAUAGAUAUAUAGAGAUUAUGUAUGUUUUCACAUCGCAGAACCUCGGUGCAUUGCCAGCAGAACAAAUAGUGCCUCAAAGAUAAAAUGAAAAGAUUAUUCAAUAAUAAUUACAAUAAUAAUAAUGAUGAAAAUAUUACCGUGAUGGAAUGUAGUGCACGCAUAGAAUUGUGUAUGAGGAGUACGGUAAAAUAACAAAAAAUGUUUAUAAAUUAUACCAAGGUGUUGGAGUUUCUGUUGUAAAAACAGUCAAUUUGGAAAAUAUUGUCGUUAUUCUAAUGAACGUUGUAUAUUUAAACACAUGGCCGAGAAAAGAAAUGGGGACACAUGUGUAGAGUUUAUCUAUGUAAAAUUACGACACUAUGCCACAGGUAAUACCGUUUUUUCGAAAGAUCAACAAUCCUUUUUUUCCAAUAUCAUUGCUCGUUAAGUAUAUAAGGUUCAGAUUAUUUGACGCUGACCGCUAGUAUGAUAUAUGUUUACGAUACAAUAUACGGUACGACAUAUAUUUUAAAAAAUAUGAGGUGGUGCCUGGCGAUGUUGUUUUUUGGACUCACGUCUACAGUAUGUUCUGGACACAUGUGCGAGCCCGUUUAUGGGGUGGACUUCGAAUUGCUGACCUCUGCAUAUGCGGCGGGUGCUGAAAGUUUUCCAACACCGACUAUCGAGUAUCAUGAUCGCUCAGCGUGCAAAUUUGGAAUGAAAUACACGAAUAACGUGAUGUCAUACAUCGAGUCACUUUUCCUCAAUGUAUACCUUCAGGCUGAUCAGACAGGUCAUCAACUGAUCAAGGCUAUCAAAGAUUGCUCUAAUGUGUUAAGAGGAGCGAUCUUAUCCAUUGGGAACAUUCAAGAGACACACACCAGUAUAGAAGAAAGUUUGAUAUCGCUGAUUGGACAGGUUAACGUAUUUUUGAGUCUAUUUCCUGGAAACGUGGACGUCAAAUUGACGACUCUAUCCGAUUUACCUGCGGAACAAGUAACUAUCCCGCUCUCCAUUGACAAGGAGCAUUCAGCGGCUGAUUUGUUUCUCCAUUGGGCAGAAACAGCAGACUCGGUUUUCGUCAGAUUGUAUGGGUACAUUACUGGAAUGUUCCUAUCCGGCUGGAGUAACGCUAGGUUGUAUUUCAACGUCGUUGGAACACAAAUUCGUAACCAGGUUCUGACUUCAACAGCCUUGACUAACUACAAGAUUGCCAUUGCCGAAGUGCUCAGUCAGUCUGAUCUAAUUCAAAGUCACUGCACAAACGAAACAUGGGGAUUAUUCCAAGAAGUCGCUUCCGAAGUAGCUGCAAUUUCGCACAACGUGCAAGACGCGUUGGAAAACUAUGCCACAUGCCUUGCAUAAUAUAACACUGUGCACUACCUUUGUAUCCAUCGUUAAAUGAAAUGAAUGUAUUGCUUUAUCCAAUUUGCUUGAUAUGAAAAUAUAAUAUUUCUCAAUAUACUCUCUUGGCAACUGAA
RNAcentral lists this unclassified non-coding RNA (2302 nucleotides) under Neodiprion lecontei (redheaded pine sawfly). RNAcentral describes it as "uncharacterized LOC107226458, transcript variant X2". Lineage: Eukaryota; Metazoa; Arthropoda; Insecta; Hymenoptera; Diprionidae. The record is from RNAcentral.